GACGAACGCUGGCGGCGUGCUUAACACAUGCAAGUCGAACGGAAAGGCCCUGCUUUUGUGGGGUGCUCGAGUGGCGAACGGGUGAGUAACACGUGAGUAACCUGCCCUUGACUUUGGGAUAACUUCAGGAAACUGGGGCUAAUACCGGAUAGGAGCUCCUGCUGCAUGGUGGGGGUUGGAAAGUUUCGGCGGUUGGGGAUGGACUCGCGGCUUAUCAGCUUGUUGGUGGGGUAGUGGCUUACCAAGGCUUUGACGGGUAGCCGGCCUGAGAGGGUGACCGGCCACAUUGGGACUGGGAUACGGCCCAGACUCCUACGGGAGGCAGCAGUGGGGAAUAUUGCACAAUGGGCGGGAGCCUGAUGCAGCAACGCCGCGUGCGGGAUGACGGCCUUCGGGUUGUAAACCGCUUUCGCCUGUGACGAAGCGUGAGUGACGGUAAUGGGUAAAGAAGCACCGGCUAACUACGUGC
This 469-nucleotide ribosomal RNA is filed under the name uncultured bacterium. Its description in RNAcentral is "partial 16S ribosomal RNA". It matches the Rfam family "Bacterial small subunit ribosomal RNA", at positions 28 to 508 of the family's 1533-position model. The record is from RNAcentral.